GUGUUACAGCUCUUCCUGGGUUUCAGAUAACCCUCCUUCCGCCACUCCAGAAGAACUCGGAGCUGCAACCCUUCAGACUCCCGCUUCCACCAGCAAACUUCAGGUCUUUUUAAAGAGCACAAGCUCCGGACGCGCAGGCUCAGCAGCCAUGGCUCACAGACCCAGCCGCUCCGUGGCAUGUGGGAUCCUCCCGGACCGAGGCACGAACCCGUGUCCCCUGCAUCGGCAGGCGGACUCUCAACCACCGCGCCACCAGGGAAGCCCAUCCUGCUUCUUAAGUAUGCGGACCUCUCACCAUUGUGGCCUCUCCCAUUGUGGAGCACAGGCUCCGGACGUGCAGGCUCAGUGGCCAUGGCUCGUGUGCCCAGCUGCUCUGCGGCAUGUGGGAUCUUCCCAGACCGGGGCACAAACCCGUGUCCCCUGCAUCAGCAGGCGGACUCUCAACCACUGCACCACCAGGGAAGCCCUCACAACUUUUAUUCAUCCUGGUAUUGGAAAUUUUAGCUAGAGCAA
Lagenorhynchus albirostris (white-beaked dolphin) is the source of this 513-nucleotide long non-coding RNA. RefSeq lists it as uncharacterized. The transcript has 3 exons. The record is from RefSeq and is a predicted model, not a curated record. NCBI's taxonomy places the organism in Eukaryota, Metazoa, Chordata, Mammalia, Artiodactyla, Delphinidae.